UAAAGAGAAUCAUCUUUCUAGAUUUAAAACUUUAAAUUAUAAACUAACUUAUAAUGAAGCUUGAACAACUUCGUACUGCAGAAAGCUCUUAAGUGAUAAGCUGAUACUUUAAAUAGGUUCUAGUUUGUCCAAAUAAUGAAUAUGCCAACUUGCAUAGUGAAUUAUCGAUAUGACUGCAUAUACCGACUUAAAAUUAUAAUAGAUAGCCUUCUAUACUUAUUAGUUAAGGAAAACUACAUUUUCUUCACCAUAGCUGAGCCACGGCUGACUCAUAAACACAGAGGGAAAAUUGUAUGGAGAGGCAAUUAUAAGGAAAGAGAAAAAGAGUAUGCAAGCUUGAAAAUAUAUUCCUUAAUGUGCAAAUACAUCAAGUUUGUUAGUAUUCUUUUACCACUUAAUGCAUUUUCUGCUUAAAACAGUGUCUUUAAAGAGCAUAGUUACUACUAUGAUGUCGCACACACUUGCCCUCUAAUUUCCCAUCUAGUGAACUGACCUUGGCACUACCAGCACCAGAACACACCUGUAAGUCACAGUGACUCCUGUAGCACCUCUGUGCCAAUGAAAGGUUCUUUGCUUAUAUGCCACCAUUGGGAACCUUGUAGGAAAUGCAGCUGGUGUAACAGAAAAUGAAUCCAGCUCCCUAAUUUUUAUCCAAGUUGGAUCAGUGUGACUAAUGUUAGAAGCAAAGUUUCUGUAAUCCUUAUUCUGCAUCUAAAUUAAGAAGCCAUGAAUACGCACAGCAUGAAGACCAAAGUGAUAAGAAAGUACAGUUUGCAGUCAUUUUCAGAGCAAAGCUACACUUGGAAUUUCCUAGUUUUAUGUAUGCACAGAAUAUGGAAAUCCAUACAACUACCACCCCAGUGUGGUGGGAAUAAAUAGGAAGCUGUAUGGAAAAAUCAUGCAAGAUCUUCCCAGCUACUUUUCUAAUUACCUCCAUGAGACAGAAACUUCUUUCAAAGACAGUCUAUUUUAAAUUGUGCUGAUUUUUUUUUGUUCUUGCUCCCUUUUGCUUAUGGUUAAGGAAUGAAGUAAAGGCCUCAGGAACUUCUUCCUUCAUAGGAAUAUGCCCACAGAUUAAGGGAGAAUAUACAACACUUUCUAUUCAGUGUAUAUAUAAUCUUUCAUCAUUUUAGUCUCAGUUACCUGAAAAGCACAAGUACCAGAUCUACAUAUGAAGCAACAGAACUAAACACUGUCUCUGAAUAUCUGAAAGAGCUGGAAUUGUGCCCCUUAAGAAUAAGCAAUAUAUAAAAUAGCUGAAUUAAGCCAAAUAAAACAAAAUGACCCACUGCUAAGAAAUUGAAUUUGAGAUGAAAAACUGUGUAUCUCAGUACUAUUAUUAACUGCACUUAUCUAAAGAUUACUCUAACAAUGUAAAAUAUGUUAUCUAUAAAAAUAGUUGCAUAAGAAAUCCUAGUAAUGUAAUACUGGCUGCUGAAAAACCUGCAAUAUCUAUGAACACUUCUGCUAUCAAUAAGACCUCCAAAACAUGUGACAAGCCCAGAUAAACAUGGUUAAAUCUGCUCAAGUUGCAUUAUGUAUUCAUUUCAGCUGCAUGCAUCUUCAUAAAUGAGUACUUUUAAAUGAACUUGUCCUGAAAAUUAGAAUUUUGCUCUCACAAAACCUCAGUAUAAGAUUUCAUCAAAAAUGUAUUUGGCUCAAAUUUCUUCUUCUUUACAUUCCUCUAAUUCUUAGGCAGAAACAACUUAUUACUAGGAAAUAACACAAUAAUGUUUUACAUUUGAUUUGUUUUAUAUUCUGAUACAUUUCUCUACUUUGGACACCAAAAAGCAAAGACAGAAAAGAGGUCUCAUUUAUAAUUUAGAACAAGAAAGAAUAUGAAGUCUUUGAUGAAAAUGCACUUUGGCCAGCAUCUUUAAUAAUAAACCUUUGCCUCCCAUCUUGCUCAGUACUAGUUCAGGUGAAAACAUGCUCUUACUGAAUGACCAGGUGUGCUCUCUGAACCAGCAGCAAGUGUCCUUCCUGAACCAUCAAAGUCAUUUCCUGCUUCCUCAGUCUUCCAAACCUACUUUGUUUUGCCUGAAAUCAGUGUCUGAGUUCAAGGUCAUAUGGCUUCAGGCAAAAUGAAUUUGAGCUAGCUUUUAAACUACAUGCUAGGUGUAAUUUUACUUUAAAAAUAAAAGUAGUAUAUAAAACAGCAUAGUUUAUAGAUGCAGAGUUCACAGCUGCUGCUUUUGUUUACUGAUGCAUAUUUGUACAACAUAGAAAGGCUUGAGCAUUCCUGAUAAUACUUAAGGCUGUAAUACAUUAGUCCAGGAAAAUAAGAGAGAGAGAGGGAGGACAGUAGAAUAUAAUGGAUGAAAUAAAAUGUGCAAAUAUACAGGUAAUUUAAAGCUCUUACAUAAAUACCUGUGUGUGCUUAGGUUUCUUAAAUUAGACAUUUCAGUAGGACAACAGCAGAAAUUAACAUGAAGCAUUCACAAACAUCAUCUCUGUUUAAUGUUCAUUUGACAGCAAUGAAAGGAAAACUAGGAAACCUAUGCUAGCACCUUCCAUGAACUUCUAGAAACCAAGAAAGUAAAUACAGAAAGAGCAUGAAUCUCAAUAUCAGCUCUACAACAGUUUUUGAAUGUGACAUAUUAGCAAGUUUGCACUUGGAGUAUCUCACGAUCCACAGAAAAGCUAAAAGGCUCUGCUCCAGAGGUUACAGGCAAAAUGUCAUCAGGAGCAUCCCUGGCUUACCUAGUUACACACUGACUGCCUGUAUAUACAUUACCUCAAAGAAACAAAUUUCUGAAGAACCAAGCUGACACAGAGACACAAAAUACAUGAUAGACAUUUUUAAAAUAUCUAUUUGUUAUCAGUUCUUACUGUGUCCCUAGUUUUGAGACUGCUUCCAGAAAUCUUGCUCAUAAAGAAGCUCUCUGUAUGUUUGAAACAGUAUUAAAAUUUACCCCAGAUCUCUCUGCUGUCAAAAUCUUUUGAAAAUAACUCAUAUAUUUGUAUUACAGAAAGCAAGAUAUUGCAUCUGGUGAGGCCUGUUGCUCCUGAGUAUUUACCCCAGAUGUUAGUGGAAAAAAAAAAUCCCUGAAACUGAUCAAUUAAACUCAGUGGAGACAACAAGGAAAAAUAUCCCUUGAAAUGCAUGCGAGCGCAUGACAUCCCAUUCAGAAGAACCUCAACACUGAGACCUAGAAUUUAAUCACAUCUUCAUUUCUGUAUGGCUAACUUCUCACAUGCUGUAGUUGCCCUAACAAUUUUCUUAGUAACCAGCUCAAACCUUCCAUUCAUAUCCCUAAAUCUUAUGUUACAAAAUCUGCCUAUGCUGAAUGUAUAUAAAUCUUCCUCCUGCAAAUUGUUUUAUUAACAUGAUUACCCCUGUUAGUGGGAUCUAUUAUUAAUGAAUACUGGGUUGAAAAGCAAAUUCCCUUACUGACCUUCUACUGGACUUGAUGAUGAUUUAGAGUCUAGAGACGAGAGCAAAAAUGUUUUAUUUUUUAUUCAGCGUGAAAUCAUCUUCAUUUAUGUCCCUGGAAAAUGAGUAAAAUGCCUGAGACAGACCAUUUCUGCUGCCAGGCUUUCAUAAUGUACUAUCUUUAGAUGCUGACCUGCAGAAAUGUAUCAGAAAAAAAUAUUUCUGCUUUCAGUGCUGCAUUUACUGUAGAUUUGCAUUCUUCCAGGAAAAAUCUGACAGACAAAUUUAACAUUGCAGAUCUGACUUCAAGCAAAUCUCUUAGCUAUUACUGGUUCCAUGAAUCUUUUUUUGAAAGAAGAAUGCAGCUGAAUUUGAUGCCAGGGCUGCAGACACAGAAACAGAGAGGACCUAUGCAAAAUGCUGGAAAAACAUGGAAAAGAUUUCCCUCCCUCAAUGUCCAGAAGUUAUCACUUUCCAAUCUCUAUCAGGCAGCCUGUGCUCUUGAGCUCACAACAGAAGCAGUGCACAAGAUGCUCCUUCCACACCAAGGUUCCAGUUUUGUCUACUGUCUGUUUUAUCCCAUUUCUUUAUCAUCAAGACUUUCUCUCCUGUGCAAGUCUAUUCUGCUAUAUCAAAGAGGAAGGAUUGUUGAAAAGGUAUACCUCCAUAGAUAAGGAAGCAGACUUACACCCAAGGAAUAAUUAACAUACAUGAAAAGUCACCACGGUUCCAAUAGGGCAGAAUAGCCAGUAACUUACAAGUGUGAGGUCAGGUAGAUUGAAGCUACUGUUUAAAAUGGAGAAAGAAUCCCCUAUCCACUCAUAUAUUAUUGAUAGUUGCGCUUGUAUUUAGAGAAAUUCCUUUUUUGUUGGCUUUCAGAUAGCCACUGAAUAAGUUCAUCAGCCAUCAGUAAUAUGAUAUGGAUUCCAUAACAACACAUUGACAGUGAAAAAGACUGUCCAGCACAAUACUGAAAGUUCAGUGCCAUUUUCCUAGCUUGACUGCUGCACUGUCUUUUAUACUCUUUUCUUUAUGAAAGUCUUAGACCUGAAAGCUCCAAAUGUUGCUUAUUUGCUGGUUUUCAUGUAAUGACGAUAUUGAUGUGUCAGAAACAUUUUUGCUAAGGUCUCAUUUAGUUUCACAUGCUGAAAACGGAAAACAGUCAAAAUAAAAGAACAAUUGGAAGAAUAUUAAUCAGCAAUAAACUUCUCUUACUUCACCACAAAAUUCUUGAAAUUCUGUCCUUCCAAUUGCUCACAAACCCAGAUGAGUCCACAUGCACAAUGACACACAAGUUCAGUCUGUGUUUACAUGCUUGCAGAUGAGUUCAAUGCUACAUGAUCUUUAUCACUGUUAUUACGAAAUGCCUUUACAGACAUGCCUAUGACACUUCAGAAGCAGCAGAAAUGGAUUUCUGGUUGCCAGCAGGCUUAUUUUUUCUCUUUUACCACUGAAUAACAGAGCAGACGGUACAUAAUUGGCAUUUUUCACAGUCUGAUAUAUUUUUUAAAGUACCAAUUUAUAAAGCAAAGAUAUUAACCUGAUUCAUCUGACUUUUUCAUCCCUCUAAAACAACUGCACUCUUUCCUUGGGGUAUAUCUGAAAGCCUGAAAUUGAAAUAAUGCAUAUCUCAGGGGGAAACACAAACUGUAUGAUAAAAUACAUACACAAAAUAUCUGGGUAUCCUUAUUUUAAUACACUUUUUGGACAUAGAAACUGGAGAUGUUCAACCUUCCCUCACCUAUCUUUACUAACAAAUGCUGCACACACAUCACUAUCAUACGACUUUGCUUCAGGUACACCACUCAGGUGAAUACAUAUUUCUCACUCUAAGCCGAGAACUGAUUUCAGAGAAGAAAAAAAUUCAGCUCUUACACUCUGUAGUUUAGGGAACGAUGUUACUAAGUGGAGGCGGGACUGGAGUAGGGCCUCACGGGAUUCCACAGAGGCACAGUGCAAACCAGAGCCUGAUGACUGGAUGCCCAGCUCCAGGCAGACCUGGCUGCUGCACCUAGACCAGCCCUGCACUGAGCAAGCAGCCAGAUGUGUGUGAGCCCCACUUGUGCCCCACUUGUGCUUCAGAAAAGUUUCAGGCGUCUCUAAUGAGUAAACACUGACAAAAUAUUUAACAUUUCCAAUGCCUCAAAAAACUUCAAACCUAUCUUACAAACUGCUUUCAAUUUCACUCAGUAUUUUCCUGUAUUUUUAUCUUUCUGCAUCAAACACUAUGAUUCAUGCUCCACUGAGAAAUAGAUGAGAGAAAUAGAUGGUUAAGGGGAAGAUAAAAUCUUUUCCUGUGAAAAUAUCUGUUAUUUCCUGUCCUGAAUAACAAGUUUUCUAACGAUUAAAUGAACUUUUGGCAAAAGCAUAACUAAGUUCAUACAUACUCCUUACUUUGAAUGCAAUAGAAAGCCAAAUCACAAAGUUUUUUUCCAUAUUUUGGAAAUACUGAAUUAGAUACAAACAGUAUCAUUUAUAAUGUGUAUAUUUUCACAUCCAAGAAAAUGACAGAUAUUAAUGGCAAGUGUUCCAACUGAGCCAAAUCAAAAUACCAAAUACUGGGCCAUCUAAUGAGCCAGUUGGUUUCCAGAGGUGUGGGACAAUCUGCAGCUUGUUCUACCUAUCAUGAUGCGGGUUUCUUCUGUCUAAAACAGAUGCUGUUCAUUAUGCUGUAAACAAGAGAAAGAAGAAUCCGAAGAGAUCAGCAGGAGAAGCAAACAUUAUCAAGGCUGACAAGUUAAAAGAAUUUUCUCCCAACAUCUUAUUCAAGAUGUAACUGCUCUAUCACUAGGACUGAAAUCAAGUUUGGAUCAAGUUUGGUCAUUUUGUUCUUUACGUGAAAUAUUACAAUUUUAUCCCUCUAAAGAUACUUCAAAUAGAAAAGAAAAUAGUUGCCAAAAGUUAAUUCUGAAAGAUCCCCAUGAGCAGGAAAAAGUCCGGGCUCUUGGCAUUUAUUAUCAAAACUCCUGUCAAGAAAUGAACCAACUGUGCUGUUAUAUUGCAUAAGUUUCCAAUACAAAAUCUAUAAAUAUUAAUUCAUGUAAGAAACCUCUUGGCAACUAUUUUGAGUUAAGGACAACUAAUUUAUUUCCAGAUCAAUGGCACUGUUUUGUAUGUAAUCAUAUUUUAAAAUGAUAACUUUCCUCAAAAGUGCUUCUAAAUAUUAUUUUUGUGAAUAGGCCAGUACAUUAAUCCAAGCUUCUUAUUUCUCCUUAUGCAAAUACCGAUCAAUAUUUAUUUCGUUCUCUCAAGUAGAAGUGCCCACGUUCUGAAGUUUCACAGCAAGUUUCACUAAUGUUGUCCUUCAAAUCCCUUACAGCCUUCUGUUAAUACUUGUAGAAAAUCAGAACAUUUAAUCAUUUUGUCUUUAGCCAUGCAGUAGGGCACUGGGUUUUCUUUUCCUUUGUUGCCAGAAACACAUCUAAAAGCUGUUAUACUCCUUGGCUGAAGCAAUCUGGAGCUGAAACCCAGACAAGAAACUAGACUGUAUUCACACUGCAGCCUAAGAAACACAGCUCAGAGAAAUAAAGUUAUGACAACCAGAAAACAGAUGAAUAUA
This is a long non-coding RNA of Numida meleagris (helmeted guineafowl), 6935 nucleotides long. RefSeq lists it as uncharacterized. NCBI's taxonomy places the organism in Eukaryota, Metazoa, Chordata, Aves, Galliformes, Numididae. The transcript is spliced from 3 exons. The record is from RefSeq and is a predicted model, not a curated record.